Triticum aestivum (bread wheat) is the source of this 3898-nucleotide long non-coding RNA. RefSeq lists it as uncharacterized. The record is from RefSeq and is a predicted model, not a curated record. The transcript is spliced from 3 exons. NCBI's taxonomy places the organism in Eukaryota, Viridiplantae, Streptophyta, Magnoliopsida, Poales, Poaceae.
GUUCUGAAAAUAGGAACCCGUACGCAUCUGCCUCCUCAACUCGAACCCUCGCCUUUGCCCAUGCCGAGCCCUCUCCGCCGCCACACCUCAGCCCCCUCGCCGCCGCCACACCUCAGGCCCCUCGCCGCCACGGCAGCACCUCAGCCCGCCCGCCGCCCCCGUCGACGCGGUCGCACCUCAACCCGCUGGCCGUCCCCGCCCCGCCUCCGCGGUCGCACCUCUGCCCGAUCGCCGCACCCGUCGGAACCCAACGCCCCCUCCCCCCUCCAAUGGAUGCCGCCCCAACUACCUCAUCCAAUAGGACGCCGGCCGCGGCGUCACGAAGUUGCUGGCGUCGCCCAGUUCGCCGUGGGUGAAGGCGCCUCAGACGCAAGCGAAGCUGGAGCUUCUUCAACGUAUGCCUCACCAUGGGGCUCGCUGUGCUGCUGGUGGACAGCCGCGGUCUCGCUGGUGUGGUGCGAGACUUCCAGAUCACCCGGCGGCUGGGUUUGGAGGAUGGCGUUCCCACAACUCCUCAUCGGGGGUGAGCGCAGCAUGGAGCAGCAAGCCCAUAGCUCCCUCAACCAUCAUGCUAAUCUCUUCUUGUUAUUCAUCCUGAAUCUAUCGUACACAUACAGUACAUGCUUAUGUAUUGUCUCAAUGAUUAUCCUAUUUUUUUAGGAUUCAACUUGCGUUUUGUGCAAUGUCAUAUACUCAAUCAACAAGUUCUCAGUUUUUUUUGCAGGAUUUGUGUUUGUUCGGAUGCUUAGGUCGAUUGCCUGUUUUGUGCAGUUCCAUAGGGGCUGCAGGUGCAGCUGCAUCAAGCGAAUUGGCCGACGGCGUGCAAUGCAUAGACAAAGCAAAAGUCAGUAUGGAGCAAAUACGAGACAAUUUCACUUUGAUUUUGUUGUUAGUGACUGAUUGAGGCGUCAUUCCCACCACGGCGGUGACGGCAACCUUCGUUCCCCCUCCAGCCGCUGUGUCCGCAGCGUACCGCUCCAACGCCAUCUGACACAACCGUCUUGUGGUGGAGGAGGGCCACCUCGAUCACAUUGGGAAGCAGUGAGUGUGGGCUUCGCCACAUGUUCUGCCGAGUCAUCGAUGUCAGUUUGUAGGUUUGUGAGUGCACUGUCUGGUGCUUCUUUUUACGGUGUCCGUCAACCCAAGCACAGCGUGUUCCAAGUAUUAACUGAGAGAGUGUGCUCCCAUUGGGUUCUGCAUGCGGACACUUUGGCCGGUGAGGAAUAACUGGAAGUUUCUCUGAUUGUCGACAACAAGUUACCCCACUGCUCUGAAUAUUUACAUGGUUAAUGUGAGUUGAAUCAUCAAAGGUCUGCGCGUUGGUAAUGGUUGAAAAAUUCAUUGCAUUAGAGAAAACUGAACAGUCUAUCAGUUCUCUAAUAAUACAUAUUACAGAAUGUACCUUUCUGUUCGAUCAUAGGAUCACUGCACAACAGGCUUUGGAGCAGGCUCUGAUUCACGGAGAACUCCCCAGUAACCUCACCUUUAUUAGAUGGAUAUUGAAUCCAGUAAGCCUCCAAGAGAUAAACAAAGUCAAUUUUGUGUUGGUAGUUUGCAUUACAGGGUUCUACCUAAUUUAUGAUUGUGCCUACAACAGACUACCUCUGCCUGAAGAUUUGAGGUGUGACUCAAAUUUCGUGCUGUUAGAAAUCAACAAUGGAGAUUUCAGUUUUUUUUCAUGUAUAUUCAUACGGAUUUCAAGUUUAACAGAUCGUAAAAUUUUAUUCUUCAUACGGAUUUCAAGUUUAACAGAUCGUAAAAUUUUAUUCUAUAAUCAGAUCUUGGUAUGUUUUCAUAUUUUUCAGAGAAGAAAGAGGUCUAGAGGCGUGGACGUAUGUUUUUAGGGGGAAUCAAGUCUGCAGAAUAUACACUAAUUUGAGGAAUUCAGAUGUUACCCAUGGUCAUACAGGGAAAGUGUGAAGCACUCUGGACAAUUUUCCGCAUUUCUCAUCCAAGAAGCCGUUACAUUUAUGAUCUUUUCUAUAGAAGAAGGAAGGAUAUAUCUAAGGAGCUGUAUGAAUUUUGCCUGGGCCAGGAUUAUGCAGACCGUAAUCUGAUUACAAAGUGGAAAAAGGCUUCCUUUAGAUCCAAUGUACUUCAAGGCAUUGAUAGUGUCUACCGAAUUCAAGUGCUUGGAAGGAAUAUCGAUUGAUGUUCGUAGCUACACUUGUCUGCAAUGAGACGACGUACAGGAGCAAUAAGAAGGAUCUGAUGAUGUACUUAUGGGCUGCCGAGCAGAACCACAAAUAGCCGUUUCUCCUUUGCUGCAUCAAGGUCAGGAACCUCCAGACUCAUUGCUUUUUGGUCUUUAUUUUGUUGGUAAAUAAAUCGUAGUGCAGUGAAUUACAUAGAAUGGAGGGACUUGAGAUCUUUUUUAUGUCUAGGUGAAUAACAGAAUUUUUUUUCUUUAACAUAGCAUUCUGUUUUGCUAUUCCAAACGUGCUUGCCAAUGUGCUCUUUAUCGAACAAUCUUUUGGCCUUCAAUGUUUCGAACCACUGUUUGUCACAGUUUUUUAGAUCGGUUGUAGAUUUUAUUGACCCCCUCACCUAAACGUGGAAUUGAGUGAUUUUGUUUACUUUCGAAAGCUUAAGUCAAUAAGCAUAUGGAGAAAAAAUUAUUAAAAAUUUGGUAAAAAAUUCAGAGGAUAAAUUGAAGAGAGAAGUUUCAUUGUCCCUGUUUUGGAGCUUAUAUUUUUGUUAUCGAGAGCUAGGUUUGUUGUUCCUUUUGUGCAAUUAAGCUCGUGCCGCUGGAACCAUGUGUACAUUUAAUCAUGGCAUCGGGGUCCACAGAUGUUGUUACGACACGAAAUGUUUGAUGAUUAUCAUUGCAGAUGCCCUCAAGCUCAGGAAUACUCUUAUUAUGUCUUUGAUUCUGUUAAAGACCCAAUAUAUGAUGAGGUGCUGCCUCUCCUGAUGCUGAGCUAUUUAGAAUUUGGUAUUUCACAUAUUUUUUUGUCUGGCCAGUAAAUUUCACAAACAUAACUGCAGGCCAUCUGCUCCUGCGCAAUGAAACUGUUUCAAAAUUCCUAUUGUGUUUGACACCCUGAACCACUUUAUUAGAUAACAGCUUAUAACUUCCACUUCUUUUUUAUCGACUAUAUAUGCUCUAUGGAUGUCGACAAAUUUGAUUGCAGGGGCUAGCAAUGCUUCAUUUCAAGCUACUGUAAUAACUGUUGUUGGUUAGUUACCUCUGAUCCUAGCAAGUGAAAUUAGAACUGAUACAUGUACAGGAUUGUUGUUUUUAGUCGCACAGAUUGACACAUGUAUGAAUAAGUUUCAGUUUUAGAUUGGUGUAUUGAUCAUGGCUAUUUUGUGGAAGAGCUCUUGCAGGCAUUGAGCAUACUUAUGUUCUCUGUAAAUUGGUACUCCCUCCGUUUUUUAAUAUAAGAUGUUUUAGGUGUUUCACAUGUUGUCUAGAUUCAUACUAAAUGAAUGAAUGUACACACUAGAACAUGUUUAGAUACAUUUGAUACGUAUGGAAUGUGGCCAAAAGCUAAAACAUCUUAUAUUUAUGAACGGAGGGAGUACUAUAUAAAAAGGAUGUUCCAUUUUCUGUAAAUUGAUAGAAAAUGGAUGCAGGUGUGACCUUGGGGAAGAAAGAGCCGGAUGGCAAAUGAAAGACUGGGAGGACUAGGGAUUCUUCUUUGCAGGUGGUAAGGUGGAGACCCUGCUUAGGGAACAUGUUGCGUACAUCCUCGCUGCUUUUCUUCUUUCAGUUUUAGAUACUUUCCAGCAGGCGUGUACCUAUCUUGCUAUGUACUGAAUUCUUUGCAACUAUGUUGCAAACUGUAUUAGGAGACAGAUAAUCAGGAAGAUAUAUAAUUCGUGUGUGUAUUAAUUAAUUAUUACCAUCACCUAGCUAGCUUGACGUGAAAGAUCGAGGCAAUUUUUUACUGUA